UCUAUUCGGGAGCAAUUUAUUUUCUUCAAGUCUUCAAAUUUGUACAUUUACUGAAUAGUCAGUGAUUGAGAAAAUACAAAAUGAAUAUUUUGACCUACAUCAUGAUAUUGUUGGCUUUUGCUAGUUGUUAAAACACCUCGCUUGUAGAUAUGUUACAAGAAGCCGAAAAACCAGUUAAAAUGUUCAGGACUUGCUAUUGCAAAGAUGUACCUGUCCCUGGAGUUCAGCGCCAUGGAGGCUGUUUACGUGGCGAGAGAUAUUGCAAAAGAACGUAUCAUAAUACUGUUUUUUGCUGCGUCAAAAGACCAUGGUUGCACUAAGAAAUAAUUACAGCAUCAAAUGAAACUAAAUUUGAUAUUUAAUUUGCUUAUUGUUUGUUUGUUAAAUCAUAUAAUAAUAUCUUUCGUAUUCUAAGAUCAUAUUUUGACUGCGCUAGUUUGCCUUGAAAUGUGACUCUUAGCUGAUAUGACAUGUGUUGACAUAAAUACAAACACUGCUGGAGACUUCUUU
Long non-coding RNA from Xenia sp. Carnegie-2017, 510 nucleotides. RefSeq lists it as uncharacterized. The transcript is spliced from 3 exons. NCBI's taxonomy places the organism in Eukaryota, Metazoa, Cnidaria, Anthozoa, Malacalcyonacea, Xeniidae. The record is from RefSeq and is a predicted model, not a curated record.